Molecule: ribosomal RNA, 371 nt
Filed under: uncultured bacterium
Lineage: Bacteria
Description: bacterial SSU rRNA
Rfam family: Bacterial small subunit ribosomal RNA
Source: RNAcentral
ACGUAGGGUGCGAGCGUUAAUCGGAAUUACUGGGCGUAAAGCGUGCGCAGGCGGUUAUGUAAGACAGUUGUGAAAUCCCCGGGCUCAACCUGGGAAUUGCAUCUGUGACUGCAUAGCUAGAGUGCGGCAGAGGGGGAUGGAAUUCCGCGUGUAGCAGUGAAAUGCGUAGAUAUGCGGAGGAACACCGAUGGCGAAGGCAAUCCCCUGGGCCUGCACUGACGCUCAUGCACGAAAGCGUGGGGAGCAAACAGGAUUAGAUACCCUGGUAGUCCACGCCCUAAACGAUGUCAACUGGUUGUUGGGUGCAUUAGUACUCAGUAACGAAGCUAACGCGUGAAGUUGACCGCCUGGGGAGUACGGCCGCAAGGUUG